AAGAGCAGAUGAUUCGUAGGACUCGAAGAAUUUGUUUGGUGACCAUAGUGUUGCGGUACCACCUGAUCCCAUUCCGAACUCAGUAGUGAAACGUAAUAACGCCGAUGGUAGUGUGGGGUUUCCCCAUGUGAGAGUAGGGCAUCGCCAAACGCUAAAUUAGAUUUAAGACACUGUCUUGAACGAAAAAAGCCGAUAUCAUUGAUAUCGGCUUUUUUUAUAUCUGU
Molecule: unclassified non-coding RNA, 224 nt
Filed under: Moritella viscosa
Lineage: Bacteria; Pseudomonadati; Pseudomonadota; Gammaproteobacteria; Alteromonadales; Moritellaceae
Source: RNAcentral